This 480-nucleotide ribosomal RNA is filed under the name uncultured bacterium. Its description in RNAcentral is "bacterial SSU rRNA". It matches the Rfam family "Bacterial small subunit ribosomal RNA", at positions 29 to 506 of the family's 1533-position model. The record is from RNAcentral.
UUGAACGCUGGCGGCAUGCCUUACACAUGCAAGUCGAACGGUAACAGGUCUUCGGAUGCUGACGAGUGGCGAACGGGUGAGUAAUACAUCGGAACGUGCCCGAUCGUGGGGGAUAACGCAGCGAAAGCUGUGCUAAUACCGCAUACGAUCUACGGAUGCAAGCAGGGGACCGCAAGGCCUUGCGCGGACGGAGCGGCCGAUGGCAGAUUCGGUAGUUGGUGGGAUAAAAGCUUACCAAGCCGACGAUCUGUAGCUGGGCUGAGAGGACGACCAGCCACACUGGGACGGAGACACGGCCCAGACUCCUACGGGAGGCAGCAGUGGGGAAUUUUGGACAAUGGGGGAAACCCUGAUCCAGCCAUGCCGCGUGCAGGAGGAAGGCCUUCGGGUUGUAAACUGCUUUUGUACGGAACGAAAAGAGCGCUUCUAAGAAAGGGGAUUCAUGACGGUACCGUAAGAAUAAGCACCGGCUAACUACGU